CUUACUAAGGACGUUUUCACUAUUAAAAUCACUGAGUUGCUAAAUUGAAGUAAAAUUGUUUCAUGUAACCCAGUUGUUGACAGGCCAUUCAAUAUAUUGAUGGCUUACUGAUCCCUGUCUUAUUCUGACACAAAUGCUUUUCAGUUUAGGGAAAAAGAAAAAGCAUAUUUCUUAGCAAUUAUUUGAAUAUGGUAUGAUUUGCAAAGAAUGGCUGAUAGUUGGGCCCUGAUCCCACAUAAUUAAAGUAAACAGUACAGGGACAUGAACUUCAUGCAGAUGAUCCAACCCACAGCUAUGUAACCUGGUUACUCCCUUUUAGGACUUGUUUUCAGAGGAGUAAGAUUGAAAAGAUUAUUUUCUGAAAGCAGGCAAUGACAACCCCUCUUCUUUUGUCUUGAAGCAGAGCAAAGAUUUUGUGGUAUCAUAAAUAAAACACUUCCUGCCAGCAAGAGCAGAGGGGAGGAACCUCCCAUUCUUAGUGCCUGUGAACCAGCAGCCAAAUUCCCAGCAGUGUAGGAGGACUCUGGCAGAUGGGCUUUGUCACUUGAGAUUAUUGCCCCCAGCUAUCUGCCAACGAUUAGCUCAAAUUGUAUCAAGGUCAACAGAAGGGGACGUGAAAUUUCUUCAGCUUCUACAGCUCACAGACAUGAGUGUCAGUGUCAGUUUUGACUGAAAUAGGUAAUGGUUAAAUUUCUAUUUAAACCAUAUAGCUGGCUAUGAGUUCUGGAUCUGAGCAGAUGAACAGCCUUUUACGCUGCUCCAGCAGGAACCUGGGGUCUCUUAGCCAUGUACACUGAUGUUCUACCUGAUGCAAGCUUGUUGCCACAAAGCCAUGAUUCACAGCAGGGGAAAGUAGGGAAUCUAGUGGAGUUAAUCAUAAAGACCACUGUCCCUUAGAGUGAAGAGUACCUGCCUCCUACCACAGCAAAGUUUUCAGAAGUGCUGACAGAAUAAGAAGUAAGUUAGAUACAGGUUAAUAUUAGAUGGCAGAGCUGAAAAGCGUAACUUUUUCCAUGAGUUAUGGAGUGCAGAUGCCAGCGUUACAUUCUCCUGCAGAAUCAGUCAGCAGCAACUACAAAUAUGGGAUUUAUCUUCACUGCUUGCUUUUGCACUUCCCUAGUUCUGUGGAUGAUUUGGAUGAGCCAAGUUCCUGUUACUGAGAUGAAGAACCCUGGUUCAUUACAAAGAGUCAGCCAGAAGAAGAUCUGCCAGGCACACUUUAGACGAGCUUUUCACUUGCUUGCUGGGAAGGUUUAGGGCAGCAGAUAAUGAGUGAUCUUGUACAGUUUGAAAGAGGCACUAUACAAGCGGAAGGAAGUAUUACUACUGCAACUCCUGUUGGUUAUCUUAAUUCUGUGAAUGGCAAUUCAGCUCUGUGAAGAAGAGAUUAUGUUAGCCUGCAGAACUUGGUCAGCUGUCCUUUACAUAGGCAAAGAAAAAAAACAAAAAAAGGUAAUUUUCUAGUAUUGUUCCCAUAAAGUAAUUGGAACUUGCCAAAAGAGUAUAUGAUUAAAUGAAUAGUCCCUUUGUUUGUUGAGUAGAAUGUUGAAGUCAUAUAGUAGUAACAGUACAUAAAAAUAAAAUAAAAUAAAAUAAAAUAAAAUAAAAUAAAAUAAAAU
Long non-coding RNA from Tyto alba (common barn owl), 1619 nucleotides. RefSeq lists it as uncharacterized. The record is from RefSeq and is a predicted model, not a curated record. The transcript has 4 exons. NCBI's taxonomy places the organism in Eukaryota, Metazoa, Chordata, Aves, Strigiformes, Tytonidae.